This 1071-nucleotide long non-coding RNA is filed under the name Vigna radiata. Its description in RNAcentral is "long non-coding RNA (VRAD_LNC017006)". The record is from RNAcentral. Lineage: Eukaryota; Viridiplantae; Streptophyta; Magnoliopsida; Fabales; Fabaceae.
UGUACUUACUUGGCUUCUAGCGUCGUCGUCUGGCACUAAACAAAUGUUUGCCUCUUCAUCAGAUUCGCUCAGAUCAGAAAUUAUUUCAUUGUCAUCAUCCCAUGCGAUGUAGUCUUUCUUGUUCUUGAAGGAUUUCUUUUCUUUUACUUCUUCACUCUUCUUUUGAUUUGGGCAGUCCGCUUUUAAGUGCCCCCUUUCUCCGCAACCAUAACAUCUAUAUUUUGAGGAGGAUUCUUGAUUUUCUUUCUUUUCAACUUUGAAUCUUCCUUUAUCUUUUGAUUUCAUGAACCAGUGAGCCUUUUUAUAUCGAGUCUCAUAUUUUCUUCCUCUUUUGAGUCUUCAUCUUCUAUUUUGCUUUUGCUCAUUUCUACCUCAGAUUUUAAGGCCAGACUCUUUUUCUUUGUUUUUGUCAUUGCUUCUUCUUCAUCUAGUCUUCGAAGGUCAAGUUCAUGCUCUCUCAACUUUCCAAAUAAUGCCGAAUAGUCAUUGUGUUGAGAUUUUGUGACUCAGAAAUUGCAGUCACUUUUGGUUGCCAUAACUUGUCUAAAGAUUUCAAAAUUUUUAUAUUAAGUUCAUCAUUUUCAAAUGACUUACCUAGACCAAUGAGAUGAUUGACAAUGUUGGUGAAGCGUUUCUGAACAUUUGAAAUUGUUUCUCCUUGCUUCAUCCUGAACAUUUCGUACUCUUGGAUCAACGUGUUCUUCUCGCCCUCUUAACAUCAUUUGUUCCUUCAUGAGUUACUCUGAGUACGUCCCACAUCUCUUGAGCGGUUUUGCAAACAGAGACCCUGUAAAACUCGUCAACAGUUAGAGCAGAUGCAAUUAUAUUUCGAGCUUUCACGUCAUUUUGAAUUCUUUUCUUCUCUUCAAUGGUCCACUUAUCACGAGGCUUUGGUUCCUGCGAAUCGUUAGUAGGAAUAGGCGAACCAGAUGCAAUAACAUCCCAAAUCUCACAAUCAAUAGACUCAAUAAAAAUUUGCAUUCUAACCUUCCAGAAUGCAUAGUUUUCACUUGUGAAUAAAGGUGGUCUAUUGAUAGAAGCACCCUCUACAAAGGUUUGAUAUGAUCCUGC